GAUGAACGCUGGCGGCGUGCCUAAUACAUGCAAGUCGAGCGAACAGACGAGGAGCUUGCUCCUCUGACGUUAGCGGCGGACGGGUGAGUAACACGUGGAUAACCUACCUAUAAGACUGGGAUAACUUCGGGAAACCGGAGCUAAUACCGGAUAAUAUAUUGAACCGCAUGGUUCAAUAGUGAAAGACGGUUUUGCUGUCACUUAUAGAUGGAUCCGCGCCGCAUUAGCUAGUUGGUAAGGUAACGGCUUACCAAGGCAACGAUGCGUAGCCGACCUGAGAGGGUGAUCGGCCACACUGGAACUGAGACACGGUCCAGACUCCUACGGGAGGCAGCAGUAGGGAAUCUUCCGCAAUGGGCGAAAGCCUGACGGAGCAACGCCGCGUGAGUGAUGAAGGUCUUCGGAUCGUAAAACUCUGAUAUUAGGGAAGAACAAAUGUGUAAGUAACUAUGCACGUCUUGACGGUACCUAAUCAGAAAGCCACGGCUGACUACGUG
RNAcentral lists this ribosomal RNA (497 nucleotides) under uncultured bacterium. RNAcentral's name for it is "partial 16S ribosomal RNA". It matches the Rfam family "Bacterial small subunit ribosomal RNA", at positions 28 to 507 of the family's 1533-position model. The record is from RNAcentral.